Molecule: long non-coding RNA, 3680 nt
Organism: Meleagris gallopavo (turkey)
Lineage: Eukaryota; Metazoa; Chordata; Aves; Galliformes; Phasianidae
Source: Ensembl
AGCCUGUUGAAACAACCACUUUAAACAACCUGUGUCUUUUUUUUAUUUUUUCAGCUAUACUAACUCGUUUCAGAUCUGAAAUAACAAAAAGUAUUGCCCAGAAAGAGAAGGAANNNNNNNNNNNNNNNNNNNNNNNNNNNNNNNNNNNNNNNNNNNNNNNNNNNNNNNNNNNNNNNNNNNNNNNNNNNNNNNNNNNNNNNNNNNNNNNNNNNNAUGAAAAGGAUGUCCCAUCAAGUUGGGAGGGAGGGAGGGGGGAGAAUCCAAAUAGUAUUUUUGUGGGGAAAUAUCUAAUAUACUUUCUGCCAACUUGACACAAGUCCUGGAUUAAAAAAAAAAAAAAGUAAAAUAGAUGGAUGUCUGAAAGUACAGCACAUCUUUUGUAUCUGAACUGCUGUAAAUGCACUCCACCAAUGUAUCAAAAUCUUCUUUUUGUUCUGUAAUGGGGUUUGGGAGUGAUGCGUUUGAUUCUGCCCACUGGGUUUGUGCCAAGGCAAUCAGAUCUUUAUGAAAGCAGUAUUUUCUGUGGUUUUUUUAUUUACAGCCUUUCUUAUUUUGAUAUUUUUUUUAUGCAGUGGAUGAAUGCCAACUUUCAGACAAAACCCACUUAGCUGUCCACAUAUUUCUCAAUGCCAAUCCUCCAAUUCUUCCUCUCCAAAUAUUUUUUGGGAGUAAAAAGCAUUCUCAUCCUACUUAGCCUUCCUAGAUUUCUCAUGACGAGUUAAUGCAUGUCCGUGGUUGGGUGCACCUGUAGUUCUGUUUAUUGGUCAGUGGAAAUGAAAAGUCUGCGUUCAUUGCAGUUCCAGUUUCUCUUCCAUUCUGUGUCACAGACACCAACACACACUCAUUGGAAAACAAAUGAAAAAAACAAAAUGUACAAUGGAUGCAUUGAAAUUAUAUGUAAUUGUAUAAAUGAGAUCACAUACAGUAUUGCAGAGGAGGAGGCAGAGUACAAGAAAUGUAAAUGAGGACAAAUACUGCUCUUCUCUAAAAACAACACUUACGAUGACUGGAAGGUUAUUGAAGGUUGGACUCUUGAGGUCCCUUCUAAUGCCUGUGAUUUUGUGAUUAUGUGAUUCUCUGACAUCCAGGUCUAGCAGAAAGAUAUGUCCCCCAUUGCAGUCACUUUUAGAGAAAGGAUCCAUAUUUGAAAGCUAUUGAUAUAUUUUUUUUCUUUUUUUUCUGUAAUGCUUAUGUUUCUGAGACUUAAUCCAAGCAAAUUUGGAUUACAAAUAUGUGAACAUGUAUUUUGGUGUACUCAAUGGCAUUUUGUGACAGAUUAGAAAAGUCUUACCCCAGUAGUAUGUAAAAAUGUAAAAUAAAACAAACUAUGGUGUCAUUGAAGAACAAGAUCAUAGCUACUAUCCUGUAAUGUAAUAAUUAUACUUCCAAUAAGAAUGUGAGGAAGGGACAGAAGCUUUAGUCACAGUUAAAAGGGGACUGUCAGAAGAUUGUAGUCAGUAUGUAAGGCCAGGAUGGUGACUUUUGGAGCACUAUUUUGUGGGGGUAUGGAGAUGAGGUCCCAUCUGAGUGUCUGAAUAAGGCAACACAUGUUGCAGGCCAGUAAGACUAUGCAGAAAGAACAGGAUUUUUGCCUGCAUCUGAAAGCAUGGAGAAAGUUGCAAUCUGCUAUUCUUUUCCCUUUCACUCCAUAUCUCCCACCUUGAUAUUUGUUUCUUUCUACUGCUCUAGCCAUACCCUUAAGAAUUAAUUUCUCUUCCCUGAGUUAUGCUCUAGGCGUUGAAGUAAUAUUUUCCUGUAGUGACCAAAGUAUUCAAUGAAGAGGAAUAUGUGACACAUCCCAGAUGCUUUCCAGAGAAUUCCUGUACUUCUGGACAGGCACCACUUUCAGCCUUCUCCUUAGAAACAUCUUGUAGUAAACAAAGGCGUGAAAGAGCAAUGGCCCUGUUCACAUGAAGAGAUCACUUUAUAAGCAACUUCUGGCUGCCAUGUUCUCCGCCAGGCCUGGGCUGGCUGUGUGGGCGAGGGCAGCCAUGUGCCUUGGCCUAGUCAGGCCUACCUGUGGUGGGCUUCAGGGCUGCCUCUCGCCUGAAGAGGCCACGGAACUGCUGCAGGAAGACUAAAGAUCUGAGAAGAAAUAUUGGCCAGGAGUUACAUGGAUAUAGGUAUUGGUCCCUGAAGGUGAGGGAAGCUUUGUUAAAGACUUAGAAAUUUUCCAUGGUUCCACGAUGACUUCAAAUUGCUCCAGUGAAAACUCUCUCCCUUCAGGUAAAUAAGUAAGAGUUAAACUAUGUCUGCUUUCAUGGAAUAAUAAUUCACUUUAGAUUGCCUUCAGCGGGUUUAAGGGCAGUAGAAGGUACAGUUCAGUCUCAAAUAAAUCCCCUGGUGCUGUAUUUCAAUAGCAGCAUACUGUUACUCUGGAGUAUUCCCUUUUAAAACAUUUUUUGAAGUGUUGGCUGAGUGCUCAGAAUAAAAUGUUUCUCUCCCUCCCCCUCACAUGAUCUGAUUUAGCCAUUCUUUUGUCUUUCAGACCAUCAAUAAGCAAAGCUGUUUACUUUUUCCUGUAUGCAUCAAUCAAACUACUAAUGAGAAACAAUAGCCUGUGUUUUGGUCACAGUCUUCUCUUGGAUAUAUAUUUGUAGUGCUUCAGUUCAUGUCUCAGCCUGCAAUAAGCAGGUAAUAUAUUGCUGUUUCUACUGGGCAACAUUAUCAGCUGUUAUAAAUAGUCUUGGGGAUAUGUAGACAUCCAGCAGUGGUGAGAAUUUUCUAAUCUUUCUGGGCUUUAGUUAGAAGUGCAAUUCACAAUGGAUUUCUGAUGAAAAGUGCUAAUAACCCUGCAAACUCUCAGAGUGCUGCCUGUGCAAAACUGGAUGAGGCUUUCUUUUAAGAAGUACAUCUGCUGAUGUGGCAGAAUUGGACCAGCAAAUUGUAGUGAUCAACUGGAUAAAAAUGACCUGGAAAAUCCCUGCCCCAUGUACAUGCUGACUGCUGAGCAAUCAUUGCUAUUCUGUGCUUUUUCCUUUGUGUUGGCAUGUGCAUAACUAUGCUAGUACUGGGUUAAUUUAUAGCUGAGGUAGGUGUAGGAGAAGCCACAAAAUGUUAAGCUCCUUUUUCCCUUGUAAGAGAGAAUUAUUUUCUAACACUUUUAUUUUUGGCACAGGGAGGGAAUGUUGAGGUUAGAGACUUGAAGCUCAAUCAGACUUUCUUAAGUCCGUGUGUAUUUCCACACAACACCAGAAAUUGCUUAUAAGUGACUCAGCCGUGUGCACAAGAGUAAUUAGAUCCAUUUGAAACUCAGAAACUGAGAAUUCUAAGGGUACUUUCAAAGCCGUUAAAGUCGAAAACUGAGAUGUGUUCAUCUCAUUCUUUGCUUUUUCUUGGCUCCUGGCCUAAAACUCAGCACAAACUAUUUGCAAAACUGCUGGGCUUUAUUUCUAUAGUCUUGGAAAUCACCAUUGUUUCUAUCUCCCUACACCCCUCCAGUUUUAGUUUGGCCAAGUUAAUACAAAGUUCAAUGAACUGAAAGACCAGACUGUGUGUACGACUUGCCAUGAUUUUAGCCAGAGUAAUUAUCCUGCUCAAAUAAUCAUUAACACUAUUAAAGUGGAGGAAGAAAGAAAAUAAAAGAUUUGUUCAUCUGGAGCAACUUCAUCGAGGCAAGAUGCUUGAGCUUUUUUUCUGUUGUUAAAACUGGAGCUGAGAAAUUUGCUGUGACCUUCCAC